GACAAACGCUGGCGGCGUACCUAAGACAUGCAAGUCGAACGGGUACGGACCCUUCGGGGUGGCGUGCUAGUGGCGGACGGGUGAGUAACGCGUAGGAACCUAUCGCACAGUGGGGGAUACCACGGGGAAACCGGUGUUAAUACCGCAUGUGGUCAGCAAUGACGAAAGCAGCAAUGCGCUGUGUGCGGGGCCUGCGUCCGAUUAGCUGGUUGGUGGGGUAA
Molecule: ribosomal RNA, 221 nt
Filed under: uncultured bacterium
Lineage: Bacteria
Description: partial 16S ribosomal RNA
Rfam family: Bacterial small subunit ribosomal RNA
Source: RNAcentral